CUGUCCUUCAGAAGAAGGGCUGAAUACCUUAAGAACGAUACUAUGGGUAUUGGCAUCAAUUAGGUUGAGACACUGACUUGGAAACCGGAUGGAAUUUUGGGAAGAAGGAAGGAGAGAAAACCGGGGAAGAUGCAUGGAUCUCAGGGUCUUUCCAGUGUAAAGACCUUCUCAUCAUCACCUUUCCCUGAAGGGAGAAGGACCCAGAGGCCUAGAGAGGACAUGAUGGCCAGGGUGUGUGCUGUCUCUGCCUAUAGGUGACUAUGAAGGCAGAUCCCUUACUCAAAAGCCUGGAGACAUUCAUCUGCUUACAGGGAAAGUUCUCCAUCUACAAAAUGAAGACUGCAUCUAUCCCAGCUGUAGGGGCAUUGAGGUGAUCUUCUGCAAGCUCUUUCAAAGUCAGACAUAACAUAUAAUGUACUAACUUUGUUAUUGUAC
Molecule: long non-coding RNA, 435 nt
Filed under: Fukomys damarensis (Damara mole-rat)
Lineage: Eukaryota; Metazoa; Chordata; Mammalia; Rodentia; Bathyergidae
Description: lncRNA (ENSFDAG00000032966.1)
Source: RNAcentral